CAAGUCGUGGGGCAGCGCGGGUAGCAAUACCUGGCGGCGACCGGCAAACGGGUGCGGAACACGUACGGAACCUUCCUUUAAGCGGGGAAUAGCCCAGGGAAACUUGGAUUAAUACCCCAUAAGAUCAUAGGGUGGCAUCAUCCAGUGAUUAAAGCUACGGCACUUAAAGAUGGGCGUGCGGCUGAUUAGGUAGUUGGCGGGGUAACGGCCCACCAAGCCGACGAUCAGUAACUGGUGUGAGAGCACGACCAGUCACACGGGCACUGAGACACGGGCCCGACUCCUACGGGAGGCAGCAGUAAGGAAUAUUGGUCAAUGGACGCAAGUCUGAACCAGCCAUGCCGCGUGGAGGAUGAAGGCCCUCUGGGUUGUAAACUUCUUUUAUCUGGGAAGAAACCGGACUUUUCUAAGGCCGUUGACGGUACCAGAUGAAUAAGCACCGGCUAACUCCGUGCCAGCAGCCGCGGUAAUACGGAGGGUGCAAGCGUUAUCCGGAUUCACUGGGUUUAAAGGGUGCGUAGGUGGGCAGGUAAGUCAGUGGUGAAAUCUCCGGGCUUAACCCGGAAACUGCCGUUGAUACUAUCUGUCUUGAAUGUAGUGGAGGUGAGCGGAAUAUGUCAUGUAGCGGUGAAAUGCUUAGAUAUGACAUAGAACAUCGAUUGCGAAGGCAGCUCGCUACACUAUGAUUGACACUGAGGCACGAAAGCGUGGGGAUCAAACAGGAUUAGAUACCCUGGUAGUCCACGCCCUAAACGAUGGAUACUCGACAUCAGCGAUAAACUGUUGGUGUCUGAGCGAAA
RNAcentral lists this ribosomal RNA (800 nucleotides) under uncultured Sphingobacteriia bacterium. RNAcentral's name for it is "bacterial SSU rRNA". It matches the Rfam family "Bacterial small subunit ribosomal RNA", at positions 58 to 856 of the family's 1533-position model. The record is from RNAcentral. Lineage: Bacteria; Pseudomonadati; Bacteroidota; Sphingobacteriia.